Molecule: ribosomal RNA, 675 nt
Filed under: uncultured beta proteobacterium
Lineage: Bacteria; Pseudomonadati; Pseudomonadota; Betaproteobacteria
Description: bacterial SSU rRNA
Rfam family: Bacterial small subunit ribosomal RNA
Source: RNAcentral
UUACACAUGCAAGUCGAACGGUAACAGGUCUUCGGAUGCUGACGAGUGGCGAACGGGUGAGUAAUACAUCGGAACGUGCCUAGUAGUGGGGGAUAACUACUCGAAAGAGUAGCUAAUACCGCAUGAGAUCUACGGAUGAAAGCAGGGGACCUUCGGGCCUUGUGCUACUAGAGCGGCUGAUGGCAGAUUAGGUAGUUGGUGGGGUAAAGGCUUACCAAGCCUGCGAUCUGUAGCUGGUCUGAGAGGGCGACCAGCCACACUGGGACUGAGACACGGCCCAGACUCCUACGGGAGGCAGCAGUGGGGAAUUUUGGACAAUGGGCGAAAGCCUGAUCCAGCAAUGCCGCGUGCAGGAUGAAGGCCCUCGGGUUGUAAACUGCUUUUGUACGGAACGAAAAGCCUGGGGCUAAUAUCCCCGGGUCAUGACGGUACCGUAAGAAUAAGCACCGGCUAACUACGUGCCAGCAGCCGCGGUAAUACGUAGGGUGCAAGCGUUAAUCGGAAUUACUGGGCGUAAAGCGUGCGCAGGCGGUUUUGUAAGACAGUGGUGAAAUCCCCGGGCUCAACCUGGGAACUGCCAUUGUGACUGCAAGGCUAGAGUGCGGCAGAGGGGGAUGGAAUUCCGCGUGUAGCAGUGAAAUGCGUAGAUAUGCGGAGGAACACCGAUGGCGAAGG